RNAcentral lists this unclassified non-coding RNA (162 nucleotides) under soil metagenome. RNAcentral's name for it is "partial internal transcribed spacer 1". The record is from RNAcentral.
CAGAGUUGCAAGACUCCCUAAACCAUUGUGAACCUACCUUCUACCGUUGCUUCGGCGGGCGGGCGCCCAGCGCCCCCCCCGGCCCCCCGCGGGCGCCCGCCGGAGGAUACCCAAACUCUUGACAUUAGUGGCCUCUCUGAGUAUUCUUUACUGAAUAAGUCA